This is a long non-coding RNA of Toxotes jaculatrix (banded archerfish), 2121 nucleotides long. RefSeq lists it as uncharacterized. Lineage: Eukaryota; Metazoa; Chordata; Actinopteri; Toxotidae. The transcript is spliced from 2 exons. The record is from RefSeq and is a predicted model, not a curated record.
AGGCAAUACGAUCAGGCCAGCAACCUUCUCAGGAGAAAGAAGGUUCUUCGCUUGGAAAGAAAAUCCAUUCCCUGCCAGGUGAGAACAUUGAAAAGGCCAUCUGCCGUCACCUUUUGGAGCCAGAGGUGGAAACAGUUAGAACUGGGGAGAAAAACACAAUUUUGAGAAGACCUUCAACUGAGUUUGAGGAUACUAACUUCAAUAUCAAUCUGAGAUGUAGUGUGAAUAUUAAAGGCACGAAACACUGCCCCCUCCUGGUCAGAAAUGCCUUGCAAUGACUGCUCUGAUGAUCCUGGUACAUCAAUCUUUACUGGCACACCAGCUGCUGGAGAGCCAUCUGGGAGACUCAUGACUACCUAAAAUAACAUCAAACAAAAUCUGUCACAUUCAAAGCCAUCACAGUCAUCUGUUUAGCUGUGUACCCAUUUAUGAGUUCAAUGCAUACCACCACAUCUAGUGGAUAUCCAGGAAUGAAGUAGGAGCGAGUUCGAGACAGAUCCAUGGUGUAUUUGUGGGAGAUUACUGGAAGAUAAACCUCUGCCUCUUGCAUUUCACCACCUGGGUUAAAAAAGUGCACGUGGCAAUAUCAGCUAUAAUGAAAAAUCACCAUCAUAGUCCCAGUAUCUUCCUCUUCUUCUUCUGAUACUCUCUCAAAUACAAGGUGGCACACCUCAAGGAAAUUAUUCUUAAAUUUCAAGAUGAAUUAUUAUUAUUAAUCCCAGAAGUAGUACUAGUAGAAGGAGUAGGAAUAGAAGAAUUGUUCUUGUCAUUUUCAAAAUACCAGAAAUAUUCCUGUAGCAUCUGCCUAUAGAAAUCAUGUUAUGAAUAUAUAAUAUUUAAUGUUAAGUUUUAAGUCACAAUAGGGUACUUUUUGGGAUUCUUGCUAUAAUAUCACAAUAGCUCUGGGGGCAUAUUCAGAAGUUUGCAGUAUAUUUGUCAGAUAAUUCCAUGAACUACAUGAUUAUGGUAAUUCCUUUAACUAUUUCACUAUAUUUAACUAAUUUUAAACUAUUAUUAAAUAAUUAUCUAUAGUGACAAUUCAAUUUGUUCUGGGAGUUGGCUCGCUUAAAUAAUGGUAUAUAGUGUGAUAUCAUUUCCUUUACUUUGUAUGUUUGUGACAAACACUCCCAAAUAGAGUUGUGCUCCACUUUGCUGUAAAUCAGAGAGGGUUCGGUUCAGCCUGUUUUGGAGCUGAUCAUUUACGGUUGCUAUUUGGAGAGAAACACUUGCACUUCCUCUGUCAACCUGCAAAAAAAAAGGGGGGGGGGAAAAGCAUUAAUUGUUGGUUUUCAUCAUGAAAUGAGCUGCAUCAUAAAUCUGUUUCCUUACCGAACCAGUCAGGUCCAGUCCACCGAUUAAGACAGGCUUUAUUUUUUUUUGAUCAUGGUUUCUACGUUUUUCUAACACUCCAACUUGACAGUGGUAAGCCCCUUUAACCUUUUCACCAUGUGAAUACCUAGAAAUAAAAUCAUUUUAAAAGUGGGAAUUUUUAAGUUAAGACAAACACUGAGUGUGAAAAUGAGAAAGGAAACCCAAACUAUGAUGUUGGCCUAUGUUGAAAACUAUGCAGUUUUAACGGAAAAGCUUGACAUUACACAGAUUUAACAGGAAAUCAAUCAACACUUACAUGGCUGAGAUGGUGAAGACAAACUGUUCAGCAUUCAGCAAAAUGUAUUUCUCCUCCAUUUCAAUGCUCACCCCAAAACUCGGUAAAACUAGGGUGUGUAACAAAAAAAAUGUUUUUAGAUUGAAGAAAUAUUUUAUAUUCUUGAUUUAAUUGAUUUAUCUAUGCAUAAAAAAGGAAAUGAAUUAAAUUAGAGGCUUACCAAAUUUUUGGACUUUGAACUCUCGAGAAACAGAAUGUGGUUCAUCAUCUUCAUAGUGAGCUGUAAUCUUCCAUGUGCCCAUUCUUUAUAAACAAAAUAUACAUUUGUUAUUCUGAUUCUGUCACAGUUGCUCGUGCUGUCACGUAAGUCAAAGUUUAUUGCAAAUCUGUUGUAACAUACUCAGAGACAUCAGGUAUGGAGAAUGUGCCUUUGAAUAUUCCUCCCCGUGCAGAUCUAAGGGACUUCAUUAUUUUGUUUCCAGCAGCAUUCUGUCAUAAAUUGAUGAAAGCAUGAA